This 465-nucleotide ribosomal RNA is filed under the name Vreelandella stevensii. Its description in RNAcentral is "partial 16S ribosomal RNA". It matches the Rfam family "Bacterial small subunit ribosomal RNA", at positions 338 to 795 of the family's 1533-position model. Lineage: Bacteria; Pseudomonadati; Pseudomonadota; Gammaproteobacteria; Oceanospirillales; Halomonadaceae. The record is from RNAcentral.
CCUACGGGAGGCAGCAGUGGGGAAUAUUGGACAAUGGGCGAAAGCCUGAUCCAGCCAUGCCGCGUGUGUGAAGAAGGCCUUCGGGUUGUAAAGCACUUUCAGUGGGGAAGAAAGCCUUGGGGCUAAUACCCUCGAGGAAGGACAUCACCCACAGAAGAAGCACCGGCUAACUCCGUGCCAGCAGCCGCGGUAAUACGGAGGGUGCGAGCGUUAAUCGGAAUUACUGGGCGUAAAGCGCGCGUAGGCGGUCUGAUAAGCCGGUUGUGAAAGCCCCGGGCUCAACCUGGGAACGGCAUCCGGAACUGUCAGGCUAGAGGGCAGGAGAGGAAGGUAGAAUUCCCGGGGUAGCGGUGAAAUGCGUAGAGAUCGGGAGGAAUACCAGUGGCGAAGGCGGCCUUCUGGACUGACACUGACGCUGAGGUGCGAAAGCGUGGGUAGCAAACAGGAUUAGAUACCCGUGUAGUC